CUCAGGUAGGAGGUGGGGGGGAGGCGGGAGUGAACUCUCGCGAGAAGAGGCGGUUGCCGUAGCGGAGUUCUCCGGCUGUGUCUUGAGGUUCCGGCGCCGGAGCUGCGGACGGUUUGCUGCGCCCGUUAGUGUCCCUGCUGAGACCCACGCCGCCGUCAUGUCCCGGUACCUGCGUCCCCCCAACACGUCUCUCUUCGUAAGGAACGUGGCGGACGAUACCAGGUCUGAAGAUUUACGACGCGAAUUCGGUCGUUAUGGUCCUAUAGUUGAUGUGUAUGUUCCACUUGAUUUCUACACUCGCCGUCCAAGAGGAUUUGCAUAUGUUCAAUAUCCUUUCUUCAGAUGGCUGAUUAGUGAGGGGUGUUGAAGUUUGAAAUUCAAGUUUUUGUAAGAGAGAAUGUAAAGCUGUACAGUUAUGGCGACCCCAAAGAGAAAGCAUGAAAGAACCUUUAGAGUAGAGUUCAACACUUAAGGCAAGUAGACAAGCCAAAGACCUUAAGGAUCAGGCUUGAAGAGAAGGGAGAGUUUGGGAAAAGAAAAUAUAAAGAAAAGCUGGAAGAAGGACAAGCCUAAUGGGAGACAAAGCCUCGCUUUAUCUACAAAAGGGGGAAAAGGUUGUUUUUCAAAGUUAAAGAUAAAGCCAUCUGUCAUAUUUGGCCAAGCAUCUCAUGACAAGUCCUUCUGACAAGCACUUAAAGAGUUAAAGGUCAAGAUGAAGUUGAAUGAUGGCCAAGAUUAAAGGAGUCAUACCUGAUGUAUCCUACAGAAUAACUAUUUUCCUUUUUUUUUUUUUUUCCUCCUCAUGUUUUGUAAGCAGUUAAUUUUCAAAAUUAUUCUGGUUUGGUCUAGUGACAAAACCUGUAACUUGAUUUACGUGGGCCUUUGAUGUUGUGAUGUGGUCUUGUAUAAAUGCACUCUCUCUUAGCUUGUGAAGUUAAAGUGUACCAGGAUGUAAUGUUGUUAAGCUUAAACUCAGCAUAUUUCUGUUUUGGACCAAGUGGUCAGGUGCUAUAGGGUAGCAGGCAGUGCUCUUUGGAGUAGCAUGAGGUUCUGGAGUCAAGCCGACUCCAUAGAGCCGUGCUUAGAGGGCAGACAGGUGCAUGCACUGGGGACUACUUAGAAACGGCUCUGGUGGUUUUAGAAGGUCAGAUCCACUAAAGAUACUGUCUGUUUAUAGAUUUUUUUAAAGGGGCUGCUAGGGGCACACACAUACUCCUAACAUCUGAAGCUUAGCUCUGUGAAACCUGCUGGCCCUGACUGCUUUAGCACAUGUGAUCAGUUGGCCCAGAAUGGGUUGCAGAAGGCCUUAUCUUUGGUAUGGGUACGUAAUCAGGAUCUGUGGGAAAUUGUUCCUUGGCCCAGAGUUUCAGGUGACAUUACUUCCUUCAGUGAGAUCACCUCCUUGUGGCAACAAAGAUUUGGGCUGUGGACUUAAGGCUAGGAAGAAUUCUCAUUGCUUAAAUUCAGUGGAUCUCUUGAAACUUAGCAGAGUUCUAAUGAGACUUAGGCAAAAUGCCAAAAGCUGCUACUCCUGCAGGGCCAGUGAUCAAGGACAGUUGUGGGAAUUGGUUGCAAAGCUCUGUUACAGAGAGGAUAAGAGGUAUAUCUGGCUUGGUUAAAAUAAAAAAAGGUAACGGUACAUUCUGGCUUACAAUGUUGGCCUGAGUUUACCUGGUUUGGAGAUGGCCUGGGAACCAGGAUCAGCAGUUAGACUCAAGAGUAUGUGAUACUUGAGCCAGGAAAGAGUUAACCAAAGGAAUCUCAAGGUGAAUUAUAGCUAAAAAAAACACAAAGUCUGUCUGUGGUCUUCAAAUAGUUAAAAAGAAAUAGGUAUCAGGAUUUUGCAAAGACCCUGAGUACAAAUUUCUCUGUAACUGGCAUCAGAAUGAUAUUUGACUGUCCCUGCUGUGGUCCUCUUUUCUAUCUGACCCCAUUCCCAGCUAGCUUUCUCUUAACAGGUCAGGUAGAACCUUGCCAUGGUUCAUCCAACCCAGGAUUCUGUUUUUGAGGGUAGCCCCAGAGGAUGAUUGGCUUUCAUUAAUAAUUUUUAUACUUCUUGGUCUAAAUCCUUUAAGAAGUUAUUCUGUCUUUCAAAGUAGCAAAGUAGUAUACCCUUCAAAUGAACUUGUUCUUUUUAAUUAUUUUAGAGCUCAACUGCAUUAACCUGGAGGGGUGUUUGAUUAUAGUGUUCAAGGUUCUAAACUCCCCAUCAACCUUUGUCUUUUCAUGAUGAAAUCCUCGUGAUUUAGGACUUGAGAAAACCUCUCGUUCACUACACAUAAUAGCCUCAGAGAGAGAGAACUGGGACCCUGUUGUGGUCUUUAAGUCCUUCCAGAACAAAAAAUAGGAAAUCUAGUGAGGCAGACCUUUUAGUCUCUGGAAUAAAAGAAUAUUAAUAUCAGUCUUGAAGGGAGUAUAUCACUUCAGGGAUGUUUUUUAAUCAGCACUCAAGAUCUGCACUCCUCAAAUUUAAGAAAUAGAAAUGGACAAGUUAGAAUAGUGAAUUUUAGUACAGAAUGAAAAUCCACAGCCAGACCUAGCCUAGCUCCCCUUCAGAAGCUUUUAUAUCAAACACUGCUCUGAAUAUGUGCUUGGCUUCUAUUAGAAUGGUGGUUUUAGGAAAGGAACUAAAUUUGGUCAGAAUAGCUUUGUUGGGGGAGAACAAGGCAACAGCCUCUCAGAUCAAAAAUGGGUACCAGCAGAUCCUGCUUUAGGCUUAUAAAUAUUAUCUUGAAAUUUCUCAAAUUGAAAACCAGUCCCAAACGCACUUCUCUACGGGAAGCUUUAUGUUUAGUGUCAAGGUUAGGGCUUUCCAGUCCAGGAAUCUUGAGAAAUGGUCUGUUAUUUCUUGGCAGCAUGCUUUUAUAGUCUGUGCAUGGAUAUAAUAUGAUGUCUUAAGUAUUGCUUGAUACUGUCUUGAUAUCUACAAGUGGCUGGUGUACCAGUCUUCCCAGUAGGUGUAAUAAGGAAGACAACUAAGUGAAAUAAUAAUGUUAGAUAUGUCUGAGAAAAAUAGCAAGAUUAAUUUGAGGUUGAUGCUUUAGUUUCUUGUAAGGUAUAUUCCGCUUGCUUACACAAGAACUAUUGGCAUUUUCUUUUUUUCAUUUGAAACAAAAAUAUGAAAAACAGUUUUGGUUUUAUUUUAAGAAAUUUUUGUUUUAGCAUACAAAAUAAAAUUGGCAUUUGUUUUUCUUUUUUGUCUUGUAAAAUUCUUAAAACUCAGGAAAAUCUUCUGAUGGGAUUACUUGGUAGUUCAGCUAUAACAGGCCUUACUUCAGUGAUAACUUUAUAAUAUGUAUUCAUAAGUGUUUUCAAACUCAUGCCUUAGGGAGUCACAAGUGCUUUAAUACUCUAAAGUGUUUAUAACUGAAUCAACCAACCAGUUAGUGGGGUCUGGUUGAUUUUCUAGAAUAAUAUCGAGAGAUUGUGAAUUGUUCCAGACUUACCAACUGAACUUUCAUUCAUUAUCAAAGUUUGCAAAACUUCCCAAGCCCCUUAACAUUUAGCACAUUUGAGGAUGUUCGUGAUGCAGAAGAUGCUUUACAUAAUUUGGACAGAAAAUGGAUUUGUGGACGCCAAAUUGAAAUACAGUUUGCACAGGGGGAUCGAAAGACUCCAAAUCAGAUGAAAGCCAAGGAAGGGAGGAAUGUGUAUAGUUCUUCACGCUAUGAUGAUUAUGACAGAUACAGACGUUCUAGAAGCCGAAGUUACGAAAGAAGGAGAUCAAGAAGUCGUUCCUUUGAUUACAACUAUAGAAGAUCUUAUAGUCCUAGAAAUAGACCGACUGGAAGACCACGGCGUAGCAGAAGCCAUUCCGACAAUGAUAGAUUCAAACACCGAAAUCGAUCUUUUUCAAGAUCUAAAUCCAAUUCAAGAUCACGGUCCAAGUCCCAGCCCAAGAAAGAAAUGAAGGCUAAAUCACGUUCUAGGUCUGCAUCUCACACCAAAACUAGAGGCACCUCUAAAACAGAUUCCAAAACACAUUAUAAGUCUGGCUCAAGAUAUGAAAAGGAAUCAAGGAAAAAAGAACCACCUAGAUCCAAAUCUCAGUCAAGAUCACAGUCUAGGUCUAGGUCAAAAUCUAGAUCAAGGUCUUGGACUAGUCCUAAGUCCAGUGGCCACUGAUAGUAUAAACCAUGAUAUUUUUAGGCAUGUAUCAUUCAUUUACUCAUAGUUUGGUUUACUUAAAUUAUCAGGAAUACAAUGUUGCAAUGAUGCUUAAAAAAACACUUGUCAGUUUUCCCUGUACCAGGCAAUGGUUAUUAUUAAAAUGAAAUGCUGUUGAGAAGCCACUCUUAAGAGUCCAGUUUGUUUAAUGUUAUGGGCAGCUACCAAUUUGUGGUGUCUCUGUAUAUUUUUGUAAAGAUUCUCAUUUUUUAAUGCUUGAGGUAUUGGUGAAAAGAUGUUGGUUGACCAUAAUUUGCAACAUUGUCUUAUUAAAAAUAAACUUUCAUAUCCAUAUUUGGUAGAACUGUUAACCUAGAAAUGUAGCUUGCUAAUAAGGUAGAAUGAUACAAAAGUGAAGUUGUAGCCACCGUACAACACUGACCCGACUAGACACAUUUAGGUUCAGGGUGGACCUUUUUGUCUUGUCAAGGUGUCGAGACCCACGAUGAUAAUUUAUGGCACAGUGUGGAAUAGUUCUUUUGUUAACCCCACUGUCUCGGGAAAUGACGCCAACUGGGUUAAGUAGCAUUUUCAGGGAGAUGGAGUUUUUGAUUGAAACACGGAGCCUUCACUUUUCUGGUUUCUGUGAAGAUUUGGAACCAUACAAACAUCGGAAAAACCCCCCUUAAAAUUUGGGCAGGUUGAUGAUGGCAGAAAUAAUUUUAAGGGGAAAAGAAUGCUCUUAUGCAGUUACUCUAAACUUUAAGGAGCAUUGUUGACCAUAAUAUUGCUUAGUUUUCUUACUGCUGUUAAAAGCAAGUAAAGUGUUUUCAAAGUAGGUUUUGUUUGUGUGUGCGCAUAGUGUAAAAGGACUGAAUUUUGAUGCUUAAAGCACUUGGUGUGUGCAUUUGUAUCAAAAUUUGCCCAUAUCUUUAUGAAGGAGGCUUGUUCUUCACGCCUCAGUUUAUUUAAUGUGAGGCAAGUAAAAAGACAACACUCCCAUUCUACGUGAUUCUGUGGUGCCAUGAGAUUUUAAAUAAUUCUGGAAAAAAACUAAGAAAGUCACAUCUCUUGAGGUUUUGACUGAUUAUCCAUGUAGUACCUGAUGAAAAUAAUACCCUAACUCUUUAUAAUUUCUAACAUCUCUCUGCGAGAUCAUUUGGGGGCAAUAAAAAGUGACUUGACGUGUCCAAUCUCAUUUCAGAAUAAAAGCUGGCAUCCUUAAAAUUUUUAGAUUGCUUGCUUACAGGCAUAAUAAGUAAGAAAUGUUGUGGGGAAACCAUUCCUUUUAGAGGAUUACUUUUUUCAAUUUUGGUUUUAGUAAUCUAGGCCUUGCCUGUAAAGAACAAAAGGUGGUUUUAAAUACUGUUUGUGGAAUGUGUUUAAAGGAUUGAUUCUAGAACCUUUGUAUAUUUGAUAGUAUUUCUAACUUUCAUUUCUUUACUGUUUGCAGUUAAUGUUCAUGUUCUGCUAUGCAAUCAUUUAUAUGCACGUUUCUUUAAUUUUUUUAGAUUUUCCUGGAUGUAUAGUUUAAACAACAAAAAGUCUAUUUAAAACUGUAGCAGUAGUUUGCAGUUCUAGCAAAGAGGAAAGUUGUGGGGUUAAACUUUGUAUUUUCUUUCUUAUAGAAGCUUCUAAAAAGGUAUUUUUAUAUGUUCUUUUUAACAAAUAUUGUGUACAACCUUUAAAACAUCAAUGUUUGGAUCAAAACAAGACCCAGCUUAUUUUCUGCUUGCUGUAAAUUAAGCAAACAUGCUAUAAUAAAAACAAAAUGAAGGAAAUAAUGAUUAACUGGAAUUAUUAUAGUUUUGAAUGAGAUUAUACAAUAACAGCGGAUUUAGGAGUAUUUUAAAUCAGUGUUGCACUAGGCACAGGUUUUACUUUGGAAAUGAUAGAACCUGCCAGAAAGGUACAUCUUUUACGUAGUAGUUAAAAAUUCCUUAUGUAAUGUCAGAGUUGUUUCAUUAUUGCUUAUUAAACCCCUUGGGUUAAAUAACUUAGAGGUUAUUGGUAGUGUUAAGAUACGCAUUAAAAUGAAAUUUGAGUCAGCUAAUUUUAAGUUUAUAUUUUCAUUAUUAGAUGGACCAAUAAUUCUGCUCUUCCCCAUCCUAAACAAGAUGGAUUGGGCCUUAUGUUUAUGGUGUGAUUUAAAAUAUUUUUGCAUUGAAUGUUCGUGAACACUUAAUAUUAAGUGAUAAUCACUGUGGGGAACUGGUUUAGGUGUUUUGUGGUUUGAGUUCAAGCUGCUUUAUAAUGACAAGUAUAGCUGAUAUUUAUUGAGUAUUUAUGAUGUGCCAGACACUGUUCUAAAAGCUUUAUGUGUUAACUCAUUUACUCAUCACGAAACCCUAUGAGAAAGAUACUUUUAUUUUCUUGUGUAACAGAUGAUAAGGAAAUGGAGGCACAAAGAAAAAGCAAUAAAAGGCAGAUCCAGGAUUUGAGCUCAGCCGGAUCCUUAGAUGUUUUUUUUUUUUAGUGGACUGUAAUUAGAGUAGAUUGGGGAAAUAACCCGUUUAAUUUUUCUUAGUCUGUAUAGAAUUAGAAGUAAUAGUUUCAUUUUUAUUUUUUACUUGUGUCACUUAUUUUUAGACUCAUGCUAUUUUCUUGAGAACCUUAUAUGUUAUUUCUAAAGUGACAUACCUAAAUAACAUAGCUUCAAAGGGACUAUUUUAUAUUUGAACCCAUGAUAGGAUCCUACUGAUACUUACGGAUCCUUAUACAGGGCUUUAAUGUUGGGUUACAUGGUUGAGUUCCAUAAUUAUUGAGUAUCUACUGUGUGUCUGGCACGGCUCAGUAUUGGAGUAGAACAUAUCAAGACUCAAGUGAGAGCUGACACUUCACCUCUCUUUUUGCUUAAGAUCUCUCUGCAUUUUUUUUUUUUUUUUGAAGCCAAGUAAG
Molecule: RNA transcript, 7005 nt
Organism: Balaenoptera musculus (blue whale)
Lineage: Eukaryota; Metazoa; Chordata; Mammalia; Artiodactyla; Balaenopteridae
Gene: SRSF10
Gene name: serine and arginine rich splicing factor 10
Exons: 6
Source: RefSeq, a predicted model, not a curated record